RNAcentral lists this ribosomal RNA (497 nucleotides) under uncultured bacterium. RNAcentral describes it as "partial 16S ribosomal RNA". It matches the Rfam family "Bacterial small subunit ribosomal RNA", at positions 28 to 507 of the family's 1533-position model. The record is from RNAcentral.
GAUGAACGCUGGCGGCGUGCCUAAUACAUGCAAGUCGAGCGAACAGACGAGGCUCUUGCUUCUCUGACGCUACCGGCGGACGGGUGAGUAAUACGUGGCUAACCUAUCUAUAAGACUGGGAUCACUUCGGGAAACCGGAGAUCAUAUCGGUUAUUAUAUUGAACGGCAUGGUUCUUUAGAGAACGCCGGAUCUGCUGUGACUUAUAGAUGGUACCUAGCCGCAUUAGCUAGUUGGUAAGGUAACGGCUUACCAAGGCGACGAUGCGUAGCCGACCUGAGAGGAUGAUCAGCCACACUGGAACUGAGACACGGUCCAGACUCCUACGGGAGGCAGCAGUAGGGAAUCUUCCACAAUGGGCGAAAGCCUGACGCAGCAACGCCGCGUGAGUGAAGAAGGUCUUCGGAUCGUAAAGCUCUUUUAUUAGGGAAGAACAAAUGUGUAUUUAACUAUUCACGUCUUGACGGUACCUAAUCAGAAAGCCACGGCUAACUUCGUG